Molecule: long non-coding RNA, 463 nt
Organism: Python bivittatus (Burmese python)
Lineage: Eukaryota; Metazoa; Chordata; Lepidosauria; Squamata; Pythonidae
Source: RefSeq, a predicted model, not a curated record
GACUGUGCAGCAGCCAUGUACUAUUCUGACAAGAAAAUAAGCCUUGCAAAACAAAAUUUCAACUCGCUCUUUUUUCUUUUACUGAUCAGUCUGGAUGUAUGUAUGGUGAAAACAGAUACCGAUGCUAUCAUUUAGCAGGAAUCCUUAAUGGCAUUUCCUGAGGCAAACUGUGUCUUAUGUUCUUUUUAUUAAGCAAAGCAACAGAAAAUGGAAAAAAGGGACAAAUAAGAUCAAAUGACUGCUACAAAACAAACAUUGAGAAAUAUUUCUGAAUCUCUCUCUGCCUUCUCAGAAUACAUAUUUUGUCAAGUAGUGCAAGUUAUUUCAAAUUUUCUUGUGAAGACUGAGAACAUCUGGUAAGAAAUAGUGCGACAUAAUGCAAAGAGUGCAUGCUGCUAAGACCUAUCAGUUAAAUGUAAGAUGCCUGCAACUGGAAGAAUCUUGAACUUUCUCUCAUGGUACA